UAGGUAGGUAGGGGAAUUCGCCUCAUUGCGCGUCCAGAAAGAAUGUGAGACUGGCAAGUUUUAUUUCCUUAUUUAAAUCAUAUGCAACUCCAAAUUCCUCUUCAACUUUAAGGAAUGGAGAGAAAAUAUAUAUAUAUUCAAUCUAGGAAGCUUACGAUAGAUUCCUCCCGCGCCCCCCCCCUCCCCGUCGACUAACAUUAACUCAUUUCAAAUAAGAUGAUGAUAGGCAUCAAAGUACACUCAGCGAUUACAGGCUGUGGGGUGCCAUGCCCGCCAGUGAAAAGCGCUGCCCAGCCUUCCGCCACCAGGGCUCAGGGACAAACCCGAAAGGGCAGGUGAGAGGUCGAUUGGCGGCGAGGAGCUCCAGGACCUGGGCGCGUCCCUCCGCUCCAGCAAUCCACUGAGUCGAUGUGAACAUCGCCUAUUCACUGAUGAGGACCUGAGUGUUAAAUAACACAUCCAAGUUCAAGCCGUGAUGGAACUGGAAUUUGAAAUUAGGUUAACAAUAGCAACCCAUCAGACACACUGAGAAAAUUAUGAAGCAAACUCUUUGACCUAAGGAGAGGCCAACUACAGUCCUCGUGGCUUUGUAGUGGGCUCUUUCGUCAGACGUUUUGUGUAAUAAGCUUUAUUCGUGGUAAACAUUGCACCUUUUUAUCCAAGCAAUACUAAGGUUACCCUCCCCCCUCCCCCCA
Molecule: long non-coding RNA, 695 nt
Organism: Myotis myotis
Lineage: Eukaryota; Metazoa; Chordata; Mammalia; Chiroptera; Vespertilionidae
Exons: 3
Source: RefSeq, a predicted model, not a curated record